Molecule: ribosomal RNA, 270 nt
Filed under: uncultured bacterium
Lineage: Bacteria
Description: partial 16S ribosomal RNA
Rfam family: Bacterial small subunit ribosomal RNA
Source: RNAcentral
CCGGCGACCGGCGCACGGGUGAGUAACACGUAUGCAACCUGGCCGUGACAGAUGGAUAACCGGGAGAAAUCCCGCCUAAUACAACAUAAUGCCGGGAGGGGACAUCCCCUGCCGGUCAAAGGGGGCGACCCCGGUCAUGGAUGGGCAUGCGGCGCAUUAGGUAGUUGGUGGGGCGACGGCCCACCAAGCCGACGAUGCGUAGGGGUUCUGAGAGGAAGGUCCCCCACACUGGUACUGAGACACGGACCAGACUCCUACGGGAGGCAGCAG